CCACUUCAAACAUUAGAGGUAAUAUCUAAAACAUGGGCAAGGCAGGAACUCCCACAUUGUCAACACAGAGUGCCGGAUCCCAUCGCAACUGCUGUGUUUCAUGGAACGUUCUCCAAGCCUAUCCAUCCUUUAAAUACUUUCACAACCAUCUCACAACUCAAGGAAAGAAAGAGGUCACUCUUCUAAUUCUUAGCAUUGCUCUCUCGUUUGUUUCCUCAAGUUCCAGGGGUCACUCAAGAACACGAUGAUGAUCACACUCUUCCAAUUUCUCGUCAUUGCGGCACCAAUCUUCCAGGUGAUCACAGCCUCCGACGCCGAUCCCCUCCAGGACUUUUGUGUGGCCGACCUCGCAAAGGACCUCACUCUCAAUGGCUACCCUUGCAAGCGAGCAGCCAACACCACCACCGAGGAUUUCAUCUUCUCCGGCCUUCGAAACUCCGCAAACACCAGCGGCCCAUCGAGAGCCGACGCGGUGUUUGGCUUCGUCCACAGUUAUCCGGGGCUCAACUCUCUCGGCCUCUCCAUAGCCAGGCUCGACUGGGCUCCCGGCGGUCUCAUCCCUCCACACACGCACCCGCGAGGCUCAGAGAUCAUCUACGUCGUGGAAGGGAGCUUGUACGCCGGAUUCGUCACCACCCAGAACCAGCUCUUUGCUCGGGUCAUCUCCAAAGGCGACGUGAUGAUCUUCCCGCGGGGUUUGAUACACUGGCAGCUCAACGUUGGUAACACCACCGCCAUGGCCGUGGUGACGCUGGAUUCGCAGUCACCGGGCUUCCAGCUUAUCGCAAGCUCCAUGUUUGGAUCGGACAUCCUGGACGAGGUGCUCGUCAAGACGUUCUUUAUUGAUGAGAAUGCGGUUCGGCAGCUCAAGGCGACGUUCUCUGGCUCCUCCUAAAUAGUUCACUUGAAAGUAAAAAUAAAUUUUGUACGGUAGAUUUUAUGGAAACUUGAUCGUUCUUUCUUUCAUUUUCAACACGUUAACUUCACUGACGUUUGUCGACUUUGUCGCUUAGUUUAUUUUUCAUGUGCAUAAAUUGACGUGGAGGAGAUGAGUGUGUUGUCCAGAUCCAGCAGCGGCAGGAGCGUCACACUCUCAUCAUAUUUUAAAGGUUUAUUUAGGAAAGGUCCACAAAGUUGAAAUAUUGUCUCACACUUUUGGAGAUGAUAAAUUUCUUCUUAUUGACCUUAUCUAGCACAUUUUAUAUAAUUUUUUAGUACACUAUUGAUUUCUUUAAGAUUCUCCGAUUUGAAACUGGCCAGCAAGCAAAUCCAACAAAAGUACACCACUGCCAUUCCGGCCGCAAGGAAAUGUGCUACUGGAAGACCAAAGGGGGAUUGUCCAAGUACUGGAAUCGUGAUUUUGAUCACAUGAUGUCUUUUAUUAUACGUUCCACACUCUAGCAUAAAACGGUCCGGAUGGGAAAUUAGAGGCCGGGGGAUUGGUUGGACGAUGCAAACGAUUGCGAAAUGAAGGGAAUUUUAGGAUUGUUUCAUUUUGUGAUACAUAAAACAUCUAUACUUUCUAAACUUCACACUCAUAUUUUAAAGAAACUCACUGGAAGUCAAGAUCAUUUGAAACUAGAAAACUAUUGGCAGGCUGACGUGUCAGUUGUGCAGAGUUUUUGGGGAGCUAGGCGUGGCAAAGGGGAGCCCGAUGGAGCUUUGGAAAUGCGUACAAAGAUUAUUUCGACAAAGAAUGCAUACACCGAAGAUCAGAAACUUGUGGAUCUAAAACAGAUGUAAAUCAUGGCGUGUCAAGCAGGACCUUCCACAUUGUCAACACAUUGCACCUUCCAUCCUUCGUGGAACCUCCACAUUGUCUUGGCACCCACGCCUUUUCAUCCUUCAAAUACCAUCUCACAACUCAAGGUACUUCUCAAAAAAGAGAUCCACUCUUCCUUUAGUUCUUCUCACAAUCGUUUGUUUCCUCAAGCUCAAAAACACGAUGAUGUUCACACUCCUCCAACUUCUCGUCAUUGCGGCACCAAUCUUCCAGGUGAUCUUAGCCUCCGACCCCGAUCCCCUCCAGGAUUUUUGCGUGGCCGACCUCGCAAAGGACCUCACUCUCAAUGGCUACCCUUGCAAGCGAGCAGCCAAUACCACCACCGAGGAUUUCAUCUUCUCGGGCCUUCGAAACUCCGGAAACA
Molecule: long non-coding RNA, 2147 nt
Filed under: Selaginella moellendorffii
Lineage: Eukaryota; Viridiplantae; Streptophyta; Lycopodiopsida; Selaginellales; Selaginellaceae
Description: long non-coding RNA (SMOE_LNC001675)
Source: RNAcentral